RNAcentral lists this unclassified non-coding RNA (2005 nucleotides) under Dimorphilus gyrociliatus. RNAcentral describes it as "dgyrCDS1596". Lineage: Eukaryota; Metazoa; Annelida; Polychaeta; Dinophilidae. The record is from RNAcentral.
AAUUGAAAGCAAUAGCAGACACCAUAACCGGAAAUAGCCUACUCUACUGAUUAAUUUCGUUCGUUUUCGCUCAAUUCGACAAAUAGUAGAUUGCCAUUUGUACUUAAAAUUUAAUUUAAAGUACGAAACUAUUUUAAAUUUAUAUGAGAUAUUACUCAAACUUAAUCUUGUGACUUUAAAUACAUAGACAAAUCCCUUAAAUUUCAGGGUCAUGGCACUGACUAAGAAAAGUGCAAAGGAAUAUGAAAAUAUCUCCAUUGAUGAUUUGCUUGAGCAGCUCACUGAAGAGGAUAUAGAGAAACUAAACCAAGAGCUAUUCGAUCCGGACGAUUCAGAUAUUCCUGCAAGGGACAGAUGUGCUUAUAAAUUGGACAAAUCUCCAUCAGCUAAGUUUGAUAGAAAAAAGUUAUUAGAGCAUUUGGAAAAGACUGCUAAGGAGGAUAAAGAUUGGCCUGAAAAUAAGCCCUAUACAGGCGAAAAAAGAGGAAAAGUAUGGCAACCAAAGGAACAAGAAAUCAAGGAUUUAGAUGAGACUGAAAACGAUUUUAACGAUGAAAUGUGGGAAGCUGUUAAGGAUAAUGCAACUGAAGAGGAUUUAGUAGAAAUUGCUGCUUUACUCGGUAUACCGUCCCUGAUCAGUCAAACCCAGUAUCAUGCCGCAGUCGUCGGUGGUGACAAAUCUAAUAUCGACUCGACUGUGAAAGGAGGUGGAUUUCAUAGUGUGGCAAAACAUGAAAAUUUCAAGCUUUUCGAUGAAGAUCCUCAUAAUAAUACCAAUGUUGAAGAAGCUCUUGAAAAUAUAAAGGCUAACGAUCCAAAAACAACAACUAUUAACUUAAACAACAUUACUAAAAUAUCAGAAGAAAGAUUAAUUCUAUUCGCUGAAGCCUUGAAAACAAAUACGAAGUUGGAAAGAUUACAAAUGAGCAAUGUUAGAAUGACUGAUAAAGUUGGUGCUGUUCUGGCCGAAGCUCUGAAAGAAAAUAAUAAUUUAAUAGAAUUGAAUGUAGAAUCGAAUUUUCUAUCUGGAAAAUGUAUUCUUCAGCUGGUUAAAGCCAUUAACGAAAAUGGAACUCUAAAGGAAUUACGAGUUAUUAACCAGAGAGCGCAAGUUCUCGGAAAUCAGACGGAAAUGGCUAUUUCCAAAGAGAUUGAAAAGAAUAAAACCAUACUAGCCUUUAAUAUCGAGGUAGCGGCUACUGACGCAAGAAAUAGAAUUGCAAAUAGCCUUCAAAGAAACGUAGACGAAUCAAAGAGAGUCACUCGUAUAUCGAAAUAGGUAACAACUUUACGAAAAAGCUGAAGAAUGUAAUUGAAACUUUCUCACCCUAUUAUGCUUUAUAGAAAUUAUUUUCUAGUCCCAUUUAGUUAAUUCUUUUUUAUUUGUAAAUUUAGAUAUAUUACUAUUAUUAUUGAUAUUAAUGUUAUUAAUACUUCUCUAUUGAGCGUCUAAACUGCAAGUUUUUUAUCGCUUUUGCCUUCCCCUCUUAUUCCCAUUCCUUUACUAGCUGAGAUUGCAUUAUUAAGGAAACACAAUUAUCCCCCUCCCUUCCUAUUCAAUUUAACCAAUGAAUCAUAUUCAACAAAUGUGUGCUUGAUUUUAUCUCCUUAAAAGAAAGAAACAAAAAAAAAUACUCUAUUUAUAGAGAUAUUUUUGAAUAAUCCCUUGAGUUUAGUUAGUUCUGUAAACUUUUUUGAAUGUAGCUUAGCUAUAACAGAGAAAAAAAAGUAACUGCAGUUGAAAAGAAAAAACGUAUCUGAUAAUAAUAAUGAAAAAGAAAAUGAAAAAAAGAAUUGGUUCUUCUCCUUUUUUUUGAGCUUAUUUCAUAUCGUAUCGAAUUGUGUCACUUUUUGUAAAAUAUACUAUGCGGAGCUUUUACCUUUUGUUGAUCGCGUUUACCUUUGCUUAUUUUUUUUUUAUAUAAUAAAUCUCAUCACAAAUCUAUUAUGCAGUAUUCCAGAUAUUUUUCAAUUUUAAUAAAUAAACUCUUUAUCAUUCAACCCA